UGUUUAUAAAUUCCAUAUGUGGUGGGAUGGCAUUGUUGGCUCUUGUCGCUUCUGCCUUCUAGUUAGUCUGGGUUAGUCUGGGUUAAGACUAUUAAUAUUAUUAAUUGAAUUAGCAUAAAACCUUAAAUUAUUCCCAAUUCACGAUUCCACUUAACAUCACAAUUCACUGGGUAUUCUAGUCUGCCAUCUCCCAAGUGUAGCAUUGGUAAUUCAUUCUAUAUCUCUAGUCUCAAUCGUUGCUCAACUUGUCAGUAAGUCUUCUUCUUCCUGAUUUGUUAUUUAUCUCCUUGUUUACUGAAAUGGGUCUACUGUAAUCUCUGGUCUUAGUGCUUGUUUUUCUAUUUGAAAUGGUGAUGAUCUCUGUUUCAGUUUUUGUUUACUGAAAUCUGUUAAUGUUUCAGUUUUAUUUAAUCAAAUGAGUUUCUGUUUGAAAUGGUGAUAAUCUUUGUUUUAGUUUUUGUUUACUAAAAUCCAUUGAUGUUUCAGUUUUUGAUUUGUUUACUCAAAUGAUGAUCUCUGUUUGAAAUGAGUUUUUGAGCCAAAUAUUGCCCAGGAAACCAGAUAAUGUUCUUCAGUGUUGCUGGGUAAUUGAUUAAAUCAUCACAUUUUCACUUUAUUUCUACCUUCCACCUCCGUUCCACGUAUCUCUGGUAAUUAUCAAUCUUUCCGUUAUCCAUAUAAUUGUUUAUUUCUCUCUGUUUUCCUGUCAAGAUGAGCUUCCUAUUUUCUUCUGUUUGGUUGCUAAGAAAAUUUUUGUUAUUUGUUUAGAAUUUUUUUUAUGUUUAUGAAUGAGGUGAAUUAAGCUCUUCAAUAUUCUGGGUAACGAAUUUGUGCUUAAUUUUUGCAACAAAUGAACUGAGUUUUAUAAUUCAAUAGAUUUUAAAUUGAUAAUUAUGGUUCAGAAAUUUCUUCUCAUGAAAACUAAUUUAAUAUCUAUAUGAUUUAUUUGGAGUUUAUAUUCCUAAAACAACAUUACAUGACAAUUUUUUCUCCAGUUUGGGAAUGACCUCUUCAAUGGGUUUCCUCAAAUUCCUAAUAAAAAUACUCUAUCUCCAAAUCUUCUAACACCCAUUGCAAAAAAGGUAUCAAAUCCAAAAUAGCUCUUCAGCUGCCAUUUCAAAAUCAAACAAAUGAUUAUAUUAUAGUCAUAAUUUAGUUUCUUUUUUAUAUAACCAAGCAUAACAAAAUAUGUUUUAGCUUUAAUAAAUAAAAGAAACACCUUGUCUAAAUAAAUAAUUUAAGUGUACAGAGUGAGAAACUUGCUCUCUAGAAAAUAUUUAAUUUCAUUUUCAAUAUUUGAAAAGCUUAUGUUAUGUUAGUUAAAAUUUGAAACUUUGAAUUCCAUUUAGAAACUAUAACAUUUACAUCAUUGUUUAUAAAAUGUCAAAGCUCAUCUCAUUUGAUCGAAUUUUGAUAAAAGAAUAAGUUUUAAAAGUUAUUAUUCCACGUUUAUUCUGUAUAAUCUUAUGUCAUUUGUAUUCAAAGUCUCAAUUGAAUUCACUGUUUGAUCAUGUAAUGUUGUUUUAGGAAUAUAUAAAUAUUUUAUAAUAACAUUCAAUUCUUGGUAGGAUUAAAAAAUCAUAUGUCUAAGUUAGUGUGUCCAUUUUACCUUGUUGAAAAGUGUUUGCUUGUAAUAAUGUCAUUACAAAUGAUAGUUUAUUUUUUUAGUGAAAUGGAAAACAUAUUAUCAUCUUCUGAGGCAGAAUCUAAAGAGCAAGCAUCUUCCCAACGUUCCAUACGGCAAAAGAAGGAUAUAGCACAUAAGUAUAUUAGUGAGGGAGCUAAUUCUAAAGGGAAGAAGGUGCUAAUAUAUGGAUUUUGUCAAAAGUAAAUAGCAAGUGGAGGUAUUAAUAGAAUGAAACAACAGCUAGCUAAAGAAAGAGGUAAUGUUGAUCCAUGUAAAAAGGUUACUGAAGAUGUUCGAUUUCAAAUAAAAGAGUUAUUGCAAGAAAUUAUUGAAAAAUCUAAAGAAAUAAGGGGAUCAUAUAAUGAUCAUGAUAAUAUUCAAGAGAUUUAUGAGCAUCAAUCUAUAAGUUCCUCUAAAGGAAAGGGAAAAGCAAGUGCUAGAAUUGACACAUUUUUCAAAAUGCCUUGCGAUCUUUCUCAACCUAGUAUCACGGCAUGCAUGCAAAGUCAAUAAAGAUGGCAUGAUACUGACUUGGAAAUUGCCUUAUAGUUUUACUAUGCAUGUAUUCCUACAAAUAUAGUGAAUUCUCUUUUUUAUCAAACUACAAUAAGUAAGAUAACAAAUUUGGGUCAUAGAUAUAAGGGUCCAUCUUAUCAUGCUUUAUGUGUAAAUUUGUUAAAAGAUGUUAAGCAACAUGUAAAAUUGAUUCUUGACUCUUAUUGAAGCACUUGGGAUGAAAUAGGUUGUUCCAUUAUGGCCAAUGGCUGGACAAACAUAAGACAAAUGUCUUUAAUAAAUUUCUUAGUAUAUUAGCCUAAAGGAAUUAUAUUUGUCAAACAGUUGAUGUUUCAAGUUUUUCCACAAAUGUAGAUACUUCGUGUAAUUUGUUUGUAGAACUGGUUGAUAUUUACUUACUAAAAGAUUUCCUCACAUUAGUUGGUCACCAUGCGCUGCUCAUUGCAUUAAUUUAAUAAUUGAAGACAUAGGAGAAAUGUUUGAGGUGCAAAGUUUGGUCAAUCUUGAUUUUAAGGUAACAAUUUUUGUUUAUAAUCAUAAAUGCACUUUGAAUUGAUUAAGAAAAAGGCCAAAUUGGAGAAAAAUUAUUCAUCCUGGAGCCACUCACUUUGCCACCAAUUUAAUUGUUUUGAAAAGUUUACAUGAUCAUAAAAAUGAUUUGCAAGCUGUUGUUAUUGUGUGGAUUACAAAAAAUUCUUAAAGAUGCAAAAGUGUAAAAAAGUUAAACAAAUUGUUCUUAAUGGAAAUUUCUGAAAUCAUUGUUUGAUCAUAGUAAGGAUUAUGACUCCACUAAUAUGUCUUUUGCGUAUUUAUGAUUUUGAUGAGAAACCUACUUAGGUUAUGUUUAUGAAGGGAUGUAUAGGGCACGCUUGGGUAUUAAGAAGUUAUUCAAAAAUAAGAAGUAUUUGUACAAGCCUUACACCAACAUUAUAAAUACUAGAUAGGAUAAAAUGUUGCGUCAAAGUCUUCAUGUUGUAGCAUAUUGGUUGAACUCAACUUUUCAAUUUGAUCGAGACAAUUUUUACAAAAAAUCAGAGAUUAUAAGUGGGUUGAUGGAUGUGACUGAAAAACAAAUUAUAUAUGACAAGUCAAGGUUGUCAGUUGAAACUGGUUUAUAUCGAGAUCGUUUAAAAAGUUUUUCUCAUUCAUUAGCUUAUACUAGUAGUAGAAGUAUUCACCCAGUGAGAAUCAAAAUUUAUCUAUGCUUUAAUGUUUACUAUUAACUUUAAUUUUAUUUACUAUAUGUUUAGUUAUUUGAUCAUUUAACUUAUUUUUUAAUGAAAGAUGAAUGGUGAAGAUUAUUUGGUUAUGAAACUUCAAAUCUAUAAAAGUUAGCAAUAAGGUUUCUUAGCCAAACAACUUUUUCUGGAUGUGAACGAAAUUAGAGUGUAUUUGACUGCAUCCACACGAAAAAAAGAAAUAGGUUAAAGCAUCAAAGGCUUAAUAAUCCUGUCUAUAUUCAUUACAAUUUGCGAUUGAAAGAUACUUAUAAAAAAAAUUAAAUUUCUUUUCUCAUGUGAUUUUACAUGUUUAUAUAUAUGUAUGUAUUUUAUAUUAGGUUUACUAAUGAGAAUAAUAUUUUUGUAUUAAUGUAUAUGAUUAUAUCCUCCAAGAAGUCAUAUGAUCCUAUAAAUUAUGAAUCAAUUGAUAAAACUAAGUUUUGGGUUGUGGAUGAAGAGGAAGAAUGAGAACUUGACUAUGAUGAAUUAGAAAACAUGUUUGAAGAAGAAUAUCGAAAAGAUAUUGAAGACUCAUGUUCUCAUGAUCCUAAAGGUUUGUUUAAAAUCAAUAGGUCUCUUAAGUUCAUGUGUAUUUCAGAUUUAUGUUAAAUUAUAACCUUAUUAUAUUUUUAUAAGCGAUGAAGAUGAUGAAAUGGUGAUAUGUGAUGACCAUGAUAAUAAUGAAGAUUGGUUGGAAAUUCCACCGUGGAGUGCUAAUUGUUUGAUUAAGAUAUUUAAAAUUGUUUUGUUGUUUUAGUUUUUUUGAGUUUUUUGUCUUUCUUUCAAUGAAUUGAAAUUUAUGAUUCAAAGAAGCAAAUAUACUUUGUUGUUAUUGAUAAUUAUACAACUUUGUUUUUGAUGAAAUUCAUAUAGUUUAUGUUUAAAAUAUGUGUUUGUUAUGAUGAUAUUAUUUAAGAAAUUCAUUAUAAUUUAUCUGAAAUUUUCCAUGAAGGAUUGAGACAUAGAAUCCUAGGUGAACUGCCAAGGAACUAACCAGGAAAUCAGGGGAGACUUCUUUCAAAGACAUUCAUUUAUGUUGUGAUAUGUGUUGCAUUGGAGAGACUUAAUGGAAUAUGCUAUAUCUUUUGCAGGGGAAAGACUUGGUGUUUGGCUUGCUCUCUUCCCAAUUGUUUAUUUAUUAGUCGGAACUGCAACAGUGUUAAUUUUGAUAGGAGGAGAUACAUUGAAACUAUUCUUCUAGAUAGUUUGUGGACCUCUUUCUUCCUCAAAUCCUCUAACAAUGAUUGAGUGGUAUUUGGUGUUCGCUUCUCUAUGCAUUGUCCUAUCUCAGCUCUCAAACCUCAACUCAAUUACAGGGCUUUCACUAGUAGGGGCUAUAAUAGCCAUUACUUACUCCACCAUGGUGUGGGUACUCUCUGUUAGCCAACAAAGGCCACCAUCAAUCUCUUAUGAGCCCCUUUCAUUGCUAUCUUGUGCAGCUUCUCUCUUUUCUAUCUUUAAUGCACUUGGAAUUAUAGCGUUUGCAUUUAGAGGCCACAAUUUAGCUAUGGAAAUAUAGGCAACAAAGCCAUCUACCUUUAAGCACCCAGCGAGUGUGCCCUAUGUGGAAAGGAGCCAAAGUUGCCUAUGUAUUCAUUGCUAUGUGUCUGUUCCCUAUAGCAAUUGGAGGCUUUUGUGCUUAUGGAAAUCAUGUAAAAUCUUUAUUCCUUAUGCAAAUGAUUGCUGAAACAUCAAUAUAAGCAGGGCUGGAUUUGAGCCGAGCUCGAGCUCGGCUCAGUUCACAUAUAGUUGUCGAGCUCGUGAAAGUCAAGCUUGAACUUAGUUCGAA
Mangifera indica (mango) is the source of this 5152-nucleotide long non-coding RNA. RefSeq lists it as uncharacterized. The record is from RefSeq and is a predicted model, not a curated record. The transcript is spliced from 2 exons. NCBI's taxonomy places the organism in Eukaryota, Viridiplantae, Streptophyta, Magnoliopsida, Sapindales, Anacardiaceae.